Molecule: ribosomal RNA, 604 nt
Filed under: uncultured Bacteroidales bacterium
Lineage: Bacteria; Pseudomonadati; Bacteroidota; Bacteroidia; Bacteroidales
Description: bacterial SSU rRNA
Rfam family: Bacterial small subunit ribosomal RNA
Source: RNAcentral
ACAGGCUUAACACAUGCAAGUCGAGGGGCAGCAUUUUAGUUUGCUUGCAAACUAAAGAUGGCGACCGGCGCACGGGUGAGUAACACGUAUCCAACCUGCCGAUAACUCAGGGAUAGCCUUUCGAAAGAAAGAUUAAUACCUGAUGGCAUAGGAUUAUCGCAUGAUAAUCCUAUUAAAGAAUUUCGGUUAUCGAUGGGGAUGCGUUCCAUUAGGCAGUUGGUGAGGUAACGGCUCACCAAACCUUCGAUGGAUAGGGGUUCUGAGAGGAAGGUCCCCCACAUUGGAACUGAGACACGGUCCAAACUCCUACGGGAGGCAGCAGUGAGGAAUAUUGGUCAAUGGACGGGAGUCUGAACCAGCCAAGUAGCGUGAAGGAUGACUGCCCUAUGGGUUGUAAACUUCUUUUAUACGGGAAUAAAGUGAUCCACGUGUGGGUUUUUGUAUGUACCGUAUGAAUAAGGAUCGGCUAACUCCGUGCCAGCAGCCGCGGUAAUACGGAGGAUCCGAGCGUUAUCCGGAUUUAUUGGGUUUAAAGGGAGCGUAGGUGGAUUGUUAAGUCAGUUGUGAAAGUUUGCGGCUCAACCGUAAAAUUGCAGUUGAUACU